RNAcentral lists this non-coding RNA (117 nucleotides) under Chlorocebus sabaeus (green monkey). The record is from Rfam by way of RNAcentral. Lineage: Eukaryota; Metazoa; Chordata; Mammalia; Primates; Cercopithecidae.
GCUGGGCAUGGUGGCUCAUGCCUGUAAUCCUAGCACUUUGGGAAGCCAAGGUGGGAGGAUCACUUGAGCUCAGGAGUUCAAGACCAGCCUGGGCAACAGAGUGAGACCUCAUCUUUC